This is a non-coding RNA of Danio rerio (zebrafish), 380 nucleotides long. Lineage: Eukaryota; Metazoa; Chordata; Actinopteri; Cypriniformes; Danionidae. The record is from RefSeq and is a predicted model, not a curated record.
GUAAAAUGUUCACAGAAAUAUAAAAAAAUAAAUAAAUAAAAAUAAAUAAAACAAACUAGGUUUUUUCUCUUAUCUAAUGACCUCAAUCCUAUUUACACUCUCUAAAUAAUACUUCUCUUUCUCCACAGGGUUUUAUGGCUAUAUCACUAAUAAGGUGUAUUCAAAGAAUCCACUUAAUGGGAGGCUCGCCAGUCCAACUCCACAAUUAGACACGCACCGAUGGAAGUUGAGACAAUCCAAAUCCAGAAGAGAGUUCAAACUUCAAUUGAUUCGAAUCCAGAGCAGAUCACAUCCAGCAACUGACGUCAAUAGAACAUCUCACCGAUGAAAAACCAGAAGAUGCACAAACGAACAAAACCAAGGAAAAGAAAAAAAAAAAA